Molecule: ribosomal RNA, 1489 nt
Filed under: metagenome
Description: bacterial SSU rRNA
Rfam family: Bacterial small subunit ribosomal RNA
Source: RNAcentral
AGAGUUUGAUCCUGGCUCAGAUUGAACGCUGGCGGCAUGCCUUACACAUGCAAGUCGAACGGCAGCACGGGAGCAAUCCUGGUGGCGAGUGGCGAACGGGUGAGUAAUACAUCGGAACGUGCCCAGUUGUGGGGGAUAGCCCGGCGAAAGCCGGAUUAAUACCGCAUACGACCUACGGGUGAAAGCGGGGGAUCGCAAGACCUCGCGCAAUUGGAGCGGCCGAUGGCAGAUUAGCUUGUUGGUGGGGUAAAAGCCUACCAAGGCGACGAUCUGUAGCUGGUCUGAGAGGACGACCAGCCACACUGGGACUGAGACACGGCCCAGACUCCUACGGGAGGCAGCAGUGGGGAAUUUUGGACAAUAGGCGCAAGCCUGAUCCAGCCAUGCCGCGUGUGGGAAGAAGGCCUUCGGGUUGUAAACCACUUUUGUCAGGGAAGAAACGGUCUGAUCUAAUAAAUCGGACUAAUGACGGUACCUGAAGAAUAAGCACCGGCUAACUACGUGCCAGCAGCCGCGGUAAUACGUAGGGUGCAAGCGUUAAUCGGAAUUACUGGGCGUAAAGCGUGCGCAGGCGGCUAUGCAAGACAGAUGUGAAAUCCCCGGGCUCAACCUGGGAACUGCAUUUGUGACUGCAUGGCUAGAGUACGGCAGAGGGGGAUGGAAUUCCGCGUGUAGCAGUGAAAUGCGUAGAUAUGCGGAGGAACACCGAUGGCGAAGGCAAUCCCCUGGGCCUGUACUGACGCUCAUGCACGAAAGCGUGGGGAGCAAACGGGAUUAGAUACCCUGGUAGUCCACGCCCUAAACGAUGUCAACUGGUUGUUGGACGGCUUGCUGUUCAGUAACGAAGCUAACGCGUGAAGUUGACCGCCUGGGGAGUACGGCCGCAAGGUUGAAACUCAAAGGAAUUGACGGGGACCCGCACAAGCGGUGGAUGAUGUGGUUUAAUUAGACGCAACGCGAAAAACCUUACCUACCCUUGACAUGUCUAGAAGUUUCCAGAGAUGGAUUCGUGCUCGAAAGAGAACUAGAACACAGGUGCUGCAUGGCCGUCGUCAGCUCGUGUCGUGAGAUGUUGGGUUAGGUCCCGCAACGAGCGCAACCCUUAUCAUUAGUUGCUACGCAAGGGCACUCUAAUGAGACUGCCGGUGACAAACCGGAGGAAGGUGGGGAUGACGUCAGGUCAUCAUGGCCCUUAUGGGUAGGGCUACACACGUCAUACAAUGGCCGGUACAGAGGGCUGCCAACUCGCGAGAGGGAGCUAAUCUCAGAAAACCGGUCGUAGUCCGGAUCGCAGUCUGCAACUCGACUGCGUGAAGUCGGAAUCGCUAGUAAUCGCGGAUCAGCUUGCCGCGGUGAAUACGUUCCCGGGUCUUGUACACACCGCCCGUCACACCAUGGGAGCGGGUUCUGCCAGAAGUAGUUAGCCUAACCGCAAGGAGGGCGAUUACCACGGCAGGGUUCGUGACUGGGGUGAAGUCGUAACAAGGUA